RNAcentral lists this ribosomal RNA (465 nucleotides) under uncultured bacterium. RNAcentral describes it as "partial 16S ribosomal RNA". It matches the Rfam family "Bacterial small subunit ribosomal RNA", at positions 339 to 795 of the family's 1533-position model. The record is from RNAcentral.
CUACGGGCGGCAGCAGUGGGGAAUAUUGGACAAUGGGGGAAACCCUGAUCCAGCAAUGCCGCGUGUGUGAAGAAGGCCUGCGGGUUGUAAAGCACUUUCGGUUGGGAGGACUGCUUCUAGCACUAAUAUUGUUGGAAGUUGACGUUACCUUCAGAAGAAGCACCGGCUAACUCCGUGCCAGCAGCCGCGGUAAUACGGAGGGUGCAAGCGUUAAUCGGAAUUACUGGGCGUAAAGCGCGCGUAGGCGGCUAGGUCAGUCGGGUGUGAAAGCCCCGGGCUUAACCUGGGAACUGCAUCCGAUACUGUCUAGCUUGAGUACAGGAGAGGAGAGUGGAAUUCCACAUGUAGCGGUGAAAUGCGUAGAUAUGUGGAGGAACACCAAUGGCGAAGGCAGCUCUCUGGCCUGAUACUGACGCUGAGGUGCGAAAGCGCGGGGAGCAAACAGGAUUAGAUACCCCUGUAGUC